CUUUAGGGGCUGACAGGAGCCAGUUUCUUCAGUGUGUUUGAGGAGCAGACGAGAAACUUGUGCUAACAGAAUCAAAAACACAGUGUGAUGAGCAGAAGAAGAUGGAGGGAUACCUGACACUCGUUUUACUCUCCUCCAUAAUCACUAUAACCACAUCUGAUUUAGAGAUUGUGAGUGCACUCAACAUCAGUCUCUCCUCCACA
Molecule: long non-coding RNA, 203 nt
Organism: Cyprinus carpio (common carp)
Lineage: Eukaryota; Metazoa; Chordata; Actinopteri; Cypriniformes; Cyprinidae
Exons: 3
Source: RefSeq, a predicted model, not a curated record